RNAcentral lists this ribosomal RNA (339 nucleotides) under uncultured Streptococcus sp. RNAcentral's name for it is "bacterial SSU rRNA". It matches the Rfam family "Bacterial small subunit ribosomal RNA", at positions 1044 to 1382 of the family's 1533-position model. Lineage: Bacteria; Bacillati; Bacillota; Bacilli; Lactobacillales; Streptococcaceae. The record is from RNAcentral.
CAUGGUUGUCGUCAGCUCGUGUCGUGAGGAAUGUUGGGUUAAGUCCCGCAACGAGCGCAACCCCUAUUGUUAGUUGCCAUCAUUCGGUUGGGCACUCUAGCGAGACUGCCGGUAAUAAACCGGAGGAAGGUGGGGAUGACGUCAAAUCAUCAUGCCCCUUAUGACCUGGGCUACACACGUGCUACAAUGGUUGGUACAACGAGUUGCGAGUCGGUGACGGCGAGCUAAUCUCUUAAAGCCAAUCUCAGUUCGGAUUGUAGGCUGCAACUCGCCUACAUGAAGUCGGAAUCGCUAGUAAUCGCGGAUCAGCACGCCGCGGUGAAUACGUUCCCGGGCCUU